This 636-nucleotide ribosomal RNA is filed under the name Pseudomonas sp. RNAcentral's name for it is "bacterial SSU rRNA". It matches the Rfam family "Bacterial small subunit ribosomal RNA", at positions 108 to 740 of the family's 1533-position model. The record is from RNAcentral. Lineage: Bacteria; Pseudomonadati; Pseudomonadota; Gammaproteobacteria; Pseudomonadales; Pseudomonadaceae.
GAGGAAUACAUCGGAAUCUACUCUGUCGUGGGGGAUAACGUAGGGAAACUUACGCUAAUACCGCAUACGACCUACGGGUGAAAGCAGGGGAUCUUCGGACCUUGCGCGAUUGAAUGAGCCGAUGUCGGAUUAGCUAGUUGGCGGGGUAAAGGCCCACCAAGGCGACGAUCCGUAGCUGGUCUGAGAGGAUGAUCAGCCACACUGGAACUGAGACACGGUCCAGACUCCUACGGGAGGCAGCAGUGGGGAAUAUUGGACAAUGGGCGCAAGCCUGAUCCAGCCAUACCGCGUGGGUGAAGAAGGCCUUCGGGUUGUAAAGCCCUUUUGUUGGGAAAGAAAUCCAGCCGGCUAAUACCCGGUUGGGAUGACGGUACCCAAAGAAUAAGCACCGGCUAACUUCGUGCCAGCAGCCGCGGUAAUACGAAGGGUGCAAGCGUUACUCGGAAUUACUGGGCGUAAAGCGUGCGUAGGUGGUCGUUUAAGUCCGUUGUGAAAGCCCUGGGCUCAACCUGGGAACUGCAGUGGAUACUGGGCGACUAGAGUGUGGUAGAGGGUAGCGGAAUUCCUGGUGUAGCAGUGAAAUGCGUAGAGAUCAGGAGGAACAUCCAUGGCGAAGGCAGCUACCUGGACCAACAC